CUUGCAUCAUCAACCAAAGAAUCUUCAAAGUGGUUGCAAGUAGUUCCAUCGAGCCAAUUGGGUUUGCUAUUGGAUAACAACUCUGCUAGAAUUGCUGUUGGUCUUCGUUUAGGUUCUGGUUUAUGCGAGGAACAUAAGUGUGUUUGUGGUGGAAUGGUUCAAAAGGAUGGCUUACACGGCUUAUCAUGCAAAAUGAAAAUUAAAAAAAUUGCUGCGCAUGAUGAAGUCAACAAAGUUUUUUCUCAUGCAUUUUCUUCAGCAGGAUUUCCAACCAUGUUACAACCGCCAGCUUUCGAGACUUUAGGCUGUAUGGGACCUGAAACAAAGAAAUUCAUUGAGAAAUUAGGAAAAAUUAUAAAGGCCACUUCAGGGGAACCGCGAUCAAUGGAUUAUUUAUUGCAGAAAAUUUCAAUUGCGAUACAAAGAGGCAACGCUGCGUGUAUUUUGGGGACUUUGGGACCGGAUAGAGUAGAUGAUUUUUAUGUUUUGUAACCUUUGAUUU
Long non-coding RNA from Bradysia coprophila, 502 nucleotides. Lineage: Eukaryota; Metazoa; Arthropoda; Insecta; Diptera; Sciaridae. The record is from RefSeq and is a predicted model, not a curated record.